CAGAUUGUUUAGCAUAAGUAAUUAACACAUACGAAAGCAGUGUUUUUCAACGAUUGGUCAAUGGACUGGUGCUGGUCCCUGAGAGCUCCCUGACACAGAUUAGGAAAGCAGCAAGCUGGUCCCUGGUAUCAAACAGGUUCUGAAACACUGUUACCAGGGGCUAUUCAAGAUGAAGUGGCCUGUUAAUACCCCUG
Molecule: non-coding RNA, 194 nt
Organism: Chelonoidis abingdonii (Abingdon island giant tortoise)
Lineage: Eukaryota; Metazoa; Chordata; Testudines; Testudinidae
Source: RefSeq, a predicted model, not a curated record